RNAcentral lists this ribosomal RNA (1097 nucleotides) under Salmonella enterica. RNAcentral's name for it is "partial 23S ribosomal RNA". It matches the Rfam family "Bacterial large subunit ribosomal RNA", at positions 881 to 1874 of the family's 2925-position model. Lineage: Bacteria; Pseudomonadati; Pseudomonadota; Gammaproteobacteria; Enterobacterales; Enterobacteriaceae. The record is from RNAcentral.
CUCGUGAAUUCAUCUCCGGGGGUAGAGCACUGUUUCGGCUAGGGGGCCAUCCCGGCUUACCAACCCGAUGCAAACUGCGAAUACCGGAGAAUGUUAUCACGGGAGACACACGGCGGGUGCUAACGUCCGUCGUGAAGAGGGAAACAACCCAGACCGCCAGCUAAGGUCCCAAAGUCAUGGUUAAGUGGGAAACGAUGUGGGAAGGCCCAGACAGCCAGGAUGUUGGCUUAGAAGCAGCCAUCAUUUAAAGAAAGCGUAAUAGCUCACUGGUCGAGUCGGCCUGCGCGGAAGAUGUAACGGGGCUAAACCAUGCACCGAAGCUGCGGCAGCGAACGUAUCACCCAAGACAACUUUACGGAGUUGACGAUUGACGGAGCGAAGCGACGUCAAAGCGUUCAUUAAAGUCGAGUUGGCUUAGGGAUACGUUCGUUGGGUAGGGGAGCGUUCUGUAAGCCUGUGAAGGUGUGUCGUGAGGCAUGCUGGAGGUAUCAGAAGUGCGAAUGCUGACAUAAGUAACGAUAAAGCGGGUGAAAAGCCCGCUCGCCGGAAGACCAAGGGUUCCUGUCCAACGUUAAUCGGGGCAGGGUGAGUCGACCCCUAAGGCGAGGCCGAAAGGCGUAGUCGAUGGGAAACGGGUUAAUAUUCCCGUACUUGGUGUUACUGCGAAGGGGGGACGGAGAAGGCUAUGUUGGCCGGGCGACGGUUGUCCCGGUUUAAGCGUGUAGGUGUGUGUUCCAGGUAAAUCCGGUUCACUUUAACACUGAGGCGUGACGACGAGGCACUACGGUGCUGAAGCAACAAAUGCCCUGCUUCCAGGAAAAGCCUCUAAGCAUCAGGUAACACGAAAUCGUACCCCAAACCGACACAGGUGGUCAGGUAGAGAAUACCAAGGCGCUUGAGAGAACUCGGGUGAAGGAACUAGGCAAAAUGGUGCCGUAACUUCGGGAGAAGGCACGCUGACACGUAGGUGAAGUGAUUUACUCAUGGAGCUGAAGUCAGUCGAAGAUACCAGCUGGCUGCAACUGUUUAUUAAAAACACAGCACUGUGCAAACACGAAAGUGGACGUAUACGGUGUGACGCCUGCCCGGUGCCGGAA